Grammomys surdaster is the source of this 605-nucleotide long non-coding RNA. RefSeq lists it as uncharacterized. Lineage: Eukaryota; Metazoa; Chordata; Mammalia; Rodentia; Muridae. The transcript is spliced from 3 exons. The record is from RefSeq and is a predicted model, not a curated record.
GAACAUAACUGUCUGUGGAGAUUGAAGAGACUUCUGCAGUCAGGAAGAAGACCUGCUCACUGGUGUAAUGGGAGGGAUACAUUGUGAAGAGAGUGAUGAGGAACAAAUGAUAAGACAGAUGUGCUAUCUUCUGAGAUAAGGAUUCCUGUGUAAAGGAAUGGUCAAAGGAACGGCCACUGGCGACACUUGUAUGGAGUCACGACAGUAGGAGACGCACGCAGAGCAGACAGGGAAGGCUAUAGCUGAGAAAACACAUGGCGAUGUUAGUGUCUUGGUGACAGAGUCCUUGUUGGUCUUGCCCACUGAGAAGCCUCACUGUCUACAGCACAGGAGACACAGAACAGACUCUUGAUAACCACUGAAAAGUGUGAAUGAAACCAUGUCAACCCUCACCACACCUUUAUAACAGAGACAGAGCAGUUGUUCUCUCUCACUCUUGCGUUGGAAGAAACUUAAUAUCAGAGACUUGACCAAGUUCCUGCAGGUCACAUGUAUUAGCAUGAGUUGGGUAUCAGCGAUGUCGUGGGAUUAAAUAUGUCUUGGCUUAUGUUUACACCCUUUCCCCUCUUAUGGCAAAAUAAAUAUGUAAUAUCAGAAAUGACUUA